GCCAUGGCGGCCGCGGGAAUUCGAUUAGAGUUUGAUCAUGGCUCAGAUUGAACGCUGGCGGCAUGCUUUACACAUGCAAGUCGAGCGGCAGCGCGGGACUCAGGCAACUGAGCCCUGGCGGCGAGCGGCGAACGGGUGAGUAACACAUCGGAACGUAUCCCGUAGAGGGGGAUAGCCCGGCGAAAGCCGGAUUAAUACCGCAUAUGCUCUACGGAGGAAAGUGGGGGACCUGCAAGGGCCUCACGCUAUGGGAGCGGCCGAUGUCCGAUUAGCUAGUUGGUGGGGUAAAGGCCUACCAAGGCGACGAUCGGUAGCUGGUCUGAGAGGAUGAUCAGCCACACUGGGACUGAGACACGGCCCAGACUCCUACGGGAGGCAGCAGUGGGGAAUUUUGGACAAUGGGGGAAACCCUGAUCCAGCCAUGCCGCGUGCGGGAAGAAGGCCUUCGGGUUGUAAACCGCUUUUAGUCGGGAAGAAAAGGCGUCUCCUAAUACGAGGCGCUGUUGACGGUACCGGCAGAAUAAGCACCGGCUAACUACGUGCCAGCAGCCGCGGUAAUACGAAUCACUAGUGAAUUCGCGGCCGCCUGCAGGUCGACCAUAUGGGAGAGCUCCCAA
Molecule: ribosomal RNA, 617 nt
Filed under: uncultured beta proteobacterium
Lineage: Bacteria; Pseudomonadati; Pseudomonadota; Betaproteobacteria
Description: partial 16S ribosomal RNA
Rfam family: Bacterial small subunit ribosomal RNA
Source: RNAcentral